RNAcentral lists this long non-coding RNA (1429 nucleotides) under Populus tremula. RNAcentral's name for it is "long non-coding RNA (PTRE_LNC002266)". The record is from RNAcentral. Lineage: Eukaryota; Viridiplantae; Streptophyta; Magnoliopsida; Malpighiales; Salicaceae.
AAACACCAAAAUCUUCUUUCCAUCGUCUCCUCACAUCUUUCUAGUGUUUUUUCAAUAAAAUAUGUCAGCCUAAUAUCCUCAUUUAGUCUCCCUGCCAUAAUCAUUGAUCGAACCACCAUGAGUCAUUGAUAAAUUAAGGUAAAAUCACUACAUUUCUCAUAAUUUGAUGGGUGUCAUUGUUAAAUUAUGAAAUUCUUAAUUUUGAUUUAAUAUUGUUUUUGUGGUGUUUGAUAAUUGAGUAUUUUGUUUUAAUUGAGAUAAUUUCAAGUUUGAUUCAAGCAAUCAUGUAUGUUUUUAUGCAAUUGAUGUUAUUUAUGGAAUCAAUUAGGUUCAAAUUAGAUAAAUUAAGGUUUGUAAAAUAAAGAAAUUAGGGUUUGUAUUGAGUUUUGGGAUAAAUUCGAAUGAUUGGAUAUUUUGUUUGAAUUGAGAUAAUUUAGAUUUUAAUUUAUACAAUUAGGUAUGUUUUCAUGGAUGCAAUGUUAUGAAUAUCAAAAUAAUGGCAAUUAGGUUUUGCAUUAAGUUUUGGGAUAAAUAAUCGUAAUUGGAUAUUUUAUUGGAAUUGAGAUAAUUAAGCUAAUUAGGUUUUAAUUGAUGCAAUUGAGUAUGGUUUCCAUGCAAUUGAUGUUAUGAAUGUUGAUAUAUGAACAAUAAUGGUCUCACUCGUCUUUUUUUAGCAUGCUAAGUUGCUUGCCUAAACCAUAUAAUGUUAUUGGUAUAGAUACAAGUGACAAAUCACAUGCUAUUAGUUGACGGGAUAAACAUGAUGAUUAUAAUUGGAUGACCUAUAAUCUCCAUUACAUAGUGCAGUGGGAUGCACAAAGAGAUGAGAUCCUUAUAGAGGUGCAAUCUAUUAUUUCAGAUAAUGAAUAUAUGGAGUGCUAUUGGUGUAUAAUGUAACAUAUCAUCACACCAAACUCGGUGCAAGUUUCUUUAUGCAAGAACAUGGAGUAUGAGUCAUAUGCACCAUGGAUGCAAAAUGUUGUAAGUACUUCAUACGUUUUGUAAUUAAUAUGUGAUGCUAAAUGUGUUUUAUUUAUGGAUUAAUAACUAUAUUUGCUAAACAUUUGGUAAACAAUUUGUUACAAGAUGGUCGAGAAACUGUCAGUGGUCUUCGUGAGAUUGAAGAUAACACACUUGCUCAUUAUUAUACACCUUGUUAGUUUGACUCAUGUCGCACUACAUUUCAGAUGCUUGGAGAGACGAUGUUGUGUUGGUGUAUGAGACGACUUAAACACUAGGAAGUCUUGCUAUUGAUAAAGCUGACCCAUUGGCUCAUCAUUGUAGACAUAGAUAGACUAGGAUAUAUGUACAGUAUAAAUAUGUUGUGUUAUUUUCUUAGAGUCUGUUUAUUUUUGCGUUUUGAAAGUAUUUUUUUUAAUUUUUUUCUAUUUCAAAUUGUUUUUUUUUUUUGUGUUUUCAGAUCGUUUUG